Molecule: ribosomal RNA, 486 nt
Filed under: uncultured bacterium
Lineage: Bacteria
Description: partial 16S ribosomal RNA
Rfam family: Bacterial small subunit ribosomal RNA
Source: RNAcentral
GAUGAACGCUGGCGGCGUGCCUAAUACAUGCAAGUCGAACGCUGGAGAUCUAGCUUGCUAGCUCGAAGGAGUGGCGAACGCGUGAGUAAUACAUAAGCAACCUACCCACGAAGACUGGGGUAAUCUCUGGAAACGGGGACUAAUACCGGAUAGGUAAUCUGAAGGCAUCUUCUGGUUAUUAAAGGUUAAUAACACUGGUGGAUGCGCUUAUGGCGCAUUAGUUUGUUGGUGAGGGUACGGCCCAGCAAGACGAUGAUGCGUAGCCGGACUGAGAGGGUGAACGGCCACAUUGGGACUGAGACACGGGCCAGACACCUACGGGAGGAAGCAGUAGGGAAUGCUCGGCAAUGGGGGCAACCCUGACCGAGCAACGCCGCGUGAGUGAAGACGGCCUUCGGGUUGUAAAGCUAUGUUGGAAGGGAAGAACGGUAGAUAGAGAAUAUCUAAGUGACGGUACCUAACCAGAAAGCCACGGCUAACUACGUG